ACUCAAAUGAAUUGACGGGGACCUGCACAAGCGGUGGAGCGCGUGGUUUAAUUCGUCACAAAGCGUAGAACCUUACCCAGGCUUGACAUCUCUAGAAGUCCCGAGAAACCGGGAUGUGCCGCAAGGAACUAGAUGACAGGUGCUGCACGGUCGUCGUCAGCUCGUGCUGUGAAGUGUCCCGUUCAGUCGGUUAACGAGCGCAACCCUUAUCCUGUGUUAUACAUGUCACAGGAAACUGCCCCAGUUAAUGGGGAGGAAGGUGAGGAUGACGUCAGAUCAGCGUGGCUCUUACGCCUGGGGCCACACACACGCUACAAUGGGAAGUAACAAUGGGUCGCUAAGCCGUGAGGCGGAGCUAAUCCUAUCAAACCUUCCCCCAAUUCGGAUUGCAGGCUGCAACUCGCCUGCAUGAAGUCGGAAUCGCUAGUAACGGCCAAUCAGCUACGUGGCCGUGAAUACGUUCUCAGGUCUUGUACACACCGCCCGU
This 487-nucleotide ribosomal RNA is filed under the name uncultured bacterium. Its description in RNAcentral is "partial 16S ribosomal RNA". It matches the Rfam family "Bacterial small subunit ribosomal RNA", at positions 899 to 1397 of the family's 1533-position model. The record is from RNAcentral.